AGUGGUUUGCUCAGUUGGUCAGAGCAUGCGGCUCAUAUCCGCAGUGUCCGGGGUUCAAUUCCCUGCAUCGCCACCA
Molecule: transfer RNA, 76 nt
Filed under: Desulfobacteraceae bacterium
Lineage: Bacteria; Pseudomonadati; Thermodesulfobacteriota; Desulfobacteria; Desulfobacterales; Desulfobacteraceae
Description: tRNA-Met
Rfam family: tRNA
About the family: Transfer RNA (tRNA) molecules are approximately 80 nucleotides in length.
Source: RNAcentral